Non-coding RNA from Bombyx mori (domestic silkworm), 84 nucleotides. Lineage: Eukaryota; Metazoa; Arthropoda; Insecta; Lepidoptera; Bombycidae. The record is from Rfam.
UUAGCUCAUAUUUGUAUGGAAUGGGAUCGUUUGCGUACGUUUGCCGCUAGGGGCGCUGUUCCAACUGCUUACAAAAUUGGGUUA